Molecule: small RNA, 565 nt
Filed under: Pongo abelii (Sumatran orangutan)
Lineage: Eukaryota; Metazoa; Chordata; Mammalia; Primates; Hominidae
Description: retained intron
Source: RNAcentral
CCUAGGAACAGCCAGAGAGGAAGGAGAUGACAGGGUGGGGAGGGGGACAUGGAAGGGAGUGGUCCGCUUGGGCAAAUGCUGCCACAAGGUCAUGGCACCUGAGGCCAGGGAGGUGGCUGUGGCAUUUGGCCACGUGGGACCUUGGCCAGAGCAGGACCUGUAGAGGUCAGGUGCAGGGCAGAAACCUGGAGAGCGGGUUUGGGGAGAGGAGCAGGUUGAGGUGGUAGGGACAGAUAGUGCAGCGGCCUCUUCUGAAGCUAAUGGCUCCAGCCUACCCUGCCCAGGCAGCCUGGGACUGACACUCGCCACCUGUCCACAGUGCCCUGGUGGAACCUUCACGCCAUCUAUGAAGUCCACCAAGGAUUAUCCUGAUGAGGUGAUCAACUUCAUGCGCAGCCACCCGCUCAUGUACCAGGCCGUGUACCCUCUGCAGCGGCGGCCCCUGGUAGUCCGCACAGGUGCUCCCUACCGCCUCACCACUGUUGCCGUAGACCAGGUGGAUGCAGCCGACGGGCGCUAUGAGGUGCUUUUCCUGGGCACAGACCGCGGGACAGUGCAGAAGGUC